CCCUAUGGGGCGCAGCAGGCGCGAAACCUCUGCAAUAGGCGAAAGCUUGACAGGGUUACUCUGAGUGAUUUCCGCUAAGGAAAUCUUUUGGCACCUCUAAAAAUGGUGCAGAAUAAGGGGUGGGCAAGUCUGGUGUCAGCCGCCGCGGUAAUACCAGCACCCCGAGUGGUCGGGACGAUUAUUGGGCCUAAAGCAUCCGUAGCCGGUUCURCAAGUCUUCCGUUAAAUCCAMCUGCUYAACAGAUGGGCUGCGGARGAUACUAUAGRRCUAGGAGGCGGGAGAGGCAAGCGGUACUCUAUGGGUAGGGGUAAAAUCCUUUGAUCCAUUGAAGACCACCAGUGGCGAAGGCGGCUUGCCAGAACGCGCUCGACGGUGAGGGAUGAAAGCUGGGGGAGCAAACCGGAUUAGAUACCCGGGUAGUCCCAGCUGUAAACGAUGCAGACUCGGUGAUGMGUUGGCUUCAUGCCAUCUCAGUGCCGCAGGGAAGCCGUUAAGUUUGCCGCCUGGGAGUACGGUCGCAAGACUGAAACUUAA
Molecule: ribosomal RNA, 535 nt
Filed under: uncultured crenarchaeote
Lineage: Archaea; Thermoproteati; Thermoproteota
Description: bacterial SSU rRNA
Rfam family: Archaeal small subunit ribosomal RNA
Source: RNAcentral